AUCUGUUGAUCCUGCCAGUAGUCAUAUGCUUGUGUUAAAGAUUAAGCCAUGCAUGUCUAAGUAUAAGCCUUUUAUACGGUGAAACUGCGAAUGGCUCAUUAAAUCAGUUAUUGUUUAUUUGGUGGUAAAACUACUUGGAUAACCCUGUUAAUUGUAGAGCUAAUACAUGCACGAACUCCUGACUGGGGGGCAACUUCCGGAAAGGAGGCACUUGUUAGCCGGGCAAGCCAAUGCGGGCCGCUAACCAGUCGCCCUCGGGCGGCUGGGGUCCGGAACAUGGCGAGUCAUAACAAUUGAGCUGAUCGCAUGGCCUCGAGCCGGCGACACUCCAUUCAAAUUUCUGCCCUAUCAACUUUCGAUGGUAGGAUAGGGGCCUACCAUGGUUGUAACGGGUAACGGGGAAUUAGGGUUUGAUUCCGGAGAAGGAGCUCGAGAAACGGCUACCACUUCCAAGGAAGGCAGCAGGCGCGCAAAUUACCCACUGGCGACACGCCGAGGUUGUGACAACAAAUAACAAUACAGGUUCCAAUGGGACUUGUAAUUGGAAUGAGUACAAUCUAAACCCCUUAACGAGGAACCACUGGAGGGCAAGUCUGGUGCCAGCAGCCGCGGUAAUUCCAGCUCCAGUAGCGUAUAUUAAAGCUGUUGCGGUUAAAAAGCUCGUAGUUGGAUUUCGGGGCUUUGGGAGACUGGUCAGCGCUAGUCGUUUGCACUGGUCACCUGGUCCCUCUCCUUCUGGAUGCUCGUUGCUGCUCUUAACUGAGUGGCGAUCAAGGGGGUUCUCCUUCGGGGGGGCACCCGGAGUUCCAGAUCAUUUACUUUGAAAAAAUUAGAGUGUUCAAAGCAGGCGGUAUGAGCCUUGAAUACCACAGCAUGGGAUAAUGCCAUAGGACUCUGAUCCUAUUUCGUUGGUUUCUAGGAAACAGAGUAAUGAUUAAUAGGGAUAGUUGGGGUGAUUAAUAUUUAAUUGUCAGAGGUGAAAUUCUUGGAUUUCUGAAAGAUUAACUUCUGCGAAAGCAUUUCACAAGGAUGUUUUCAUUAAUCAAGAACGAAAGUUGGGGGAUCGAAGACGAUCAGAUACCGUCGUAGUCUCAACCUUAAACGAUGCCGACCAGGGAUCGGAUGACGUUACACAGAUGACUCCUCCGGCACCUUGUGAGAAACCACAAGUGUUUGGGCUUCGGGGGGAGUAUGGUCGCAAGGCUGAAACUUAAAGGAAUUGACGGAAGGGCACCACCAGGAGUGGAGCCUGCGGCUUAAUUUGACUCAACACGGGGAAACUUACCAGGUCCAGACAGUAGAAGGAUUGACAGAUUGAGAGCUCUUUCUUGAUUUACUGGGUGGUGGUGCAUGGCCGUUCUUAGUUGGUGGAGUGAUUUGUCUGGUUAAUUCCGUUAACGAACGAGACCUUAACCUGCUAAAUAGUUAUGC
This 1431-nucleotide ribosomal RNA is filed under the name metagenome. RNAcentral describes it as "SSU rRNA". It matches the Rfam family "Eukaryotic small subunit ribosomal RNA", at positions 1 to 1364 of the family's 1831-position model. The record is from RNAcentral.